This is a long non-coding RNA of Etheostoma spectabile (orangethroat darter), 184 nucleotides long. RefSeq lists it as uncharacterized. NCBI's taxonomy places the organism in Eukaryota, Metazoa, Chordata, Actinopteri, Perciformes, Percidae. The transcript has 3 exons. The record is from RefSeq and is a predicted model, not a curated record.
UUUUCUACUAGACUUUAAGAGACGGUAGCCCAGAGCUAGCGGCAGAAAUGACCAAAAAUGUGAUAAAAUAUAGACAUCAAGUGGAUAAAUCUUGGAGUUAAGAGUUUGGAUUUAUUGCUCAACAACCCUGAAAAAGGCCAGGUUCCAGGUUGGAUAGAAAAUCACCUGUAAAGGCUAGAAAGAC